UUCGGAGGGGGCUAGCGUUGUUCAGAAUUGUUGGGCGUAAGGCGCUCGCAGGCGGCUUGCUACGUCGUGCGUGAAACACCCCGGCUCAACUGGGGAGGGUCGUGCGAUACGGGCAGGCUGGAGGCCAGUAGGGGGAUGCGGAAUUCCGGGUGUAGUGGUGGAAUGCGUAGAGAUCCGGAGGAACACCAGCGGCGAAGGCGGCAUCCUGGACUGGUACUGACGCUCAGGAGCGAAAGCGUGGGGAGCGAUCCGG
This 253-nucleotide ribosomal RNA is filed under the name uncultured bacterium. RNAcentral's name for it is "partial 16S ribosomal RNA". It matches the Rfam family "Bacterial small subunit ribosomal RNA", at positions 524 to 776 of the family's 1533-position model. The record is from RNAcentral.